Molecule: small RNA, 151 nt
Filed under: Patulibacter medicamentivorans
Lineage: Bacteria; Bacillati; Actinomycetota; Thermoleophilia; Solirubrobacterales; Patulibacteraceae
Description: c-di-AMP sequence
Rfam family: c-di-AMP riboswitch aptamer (ydaO/yuaA leader)
About the family: This family represents a conserved RNA structure found upstream of the ydaO and yuaA genes in Bacillus subtilis and related genes in other bacteria.
Source: Rfam by way of RNAcentral
CUCUGCGCGGAGCCGAAUUACCGAGUGACGUCUCGGUAAGCGGGGGAACCACACGUUCCUUGGGGCAAAUCCACACGCAAUAGCGGUGGAAGCGCUGGCUCUUUCUGCGCUCGCCCGUCAGCUAACCCCGUAGGCCGACGAAAGAGAGCAG